RNAcentral lists this ribosomal RNA (468 nucleotides) under uncultured bacterium. RNAcentral describes it as "partial 16S ribosomal RNA". It matches the Rfam family "Bacterial small subunit ribosomal RNA", at positions 28 to 507 of the family's 1533-position model. The record is from RNAcentral.
GAUGAACGCUGGCGGCGUGCUUAACACAUGCAAGUCGAACGGAAAGGCCCUGCUUUUGUGGGUUGCUCGAGUGGCGAACGGGUGAGUAACACGUGAGUAACCUGCCCUUGUCUUUGGGAUAACUUCAGGAAACUGGGGCUAUAACCGGAUAGGAGCUCCUGAUGCAUGGUGGGCGUUGGAAAGUGUCGGCGGUUGGGGAUGGGCUCGCGGCUUAUCAGCUUGUUGGUGGGGUAGUGGCUUACCAAGGCUUCGACGGGUAGCCGGCCUGAGAGGGUGACCGGCCACAUUGGGACUGAGAUACGGCCCAGACUCCUACGGGAGGCAGCAGUGGGGAAUAUUGCACAAUGGGCGGAAGCCUGAUGCAGCAACGCCGCGUGCGGGAUGACGGCCUUCGGGUUGUAAACCGCUUUCGCCUGUGACGAAGCGUGAGUGACGGUAAUGGGUAAAGAAGCACCGGCUAACUACGUG